RNAcentral lists this ribosomal RNA (254 nucleotides) under uncultured bacterium. RNAcentral describes it as "partial 16S ribosomal RNA". It matches the Rfam family "Bacterial small subunit ribosomal RNA", at positions 524 to 776 of the family's 1533-position model. The record is from RNAcentral.
UACGGGGGGGGGCAAGCGUUGUUCGGAAUUACUGGGCGUAAAGGGCUCGUAGGCGGCCAACUAAGUCAGACGUGAAAUCCCUCGGCUUAACCGGGGAACUGCAUCUGAUACUGGAUGGCUUGAGUUCGGGAGAGGGAUGUGGAAUUCCAGGUGUAGCGGUGAAAUGCGUAGAUAUCUGGAGGAACACCGGUGGCGAAGGCGGCAUCCUGGACCGACACUGACGCUGAGGAGCGAAAGCCAGGGGAGCAAACGGG